Small nuclear RNA from Suncus etruscus (white-toothed pygmy shrew), 104 nucleotides. The record is from RefSeq and is a predicted model, not a curated record. Lineage: Eukaryota; Metazoa; Chordata; Mammalia; Eulipotyphla; Soricidae.
AUGCUCACUUCAGCAGCACAAAUACUAAAAUUGGAAUGAUACAGAGAUUAAAAUAGCCCCUGUAUAAAGAGGACAGGGAAAGAUGUAAAAAUGUAAAGAUGAUA